UUAUAUUUCUAUAUCCCACAUUUUAUAAAUAUAUUAAUUAAAAACAAAAAUUUAAAUUCAACAUAAAAAUAAUUAAAAAUAUUACAUAUUUAAAUAAAUAUCAUACCACAUAAAAUAUAAUUUUGUUUUUGAUAAAUACAUAAAAAUAUAAAACUAAUAUCUAAUAGAAUAAGAACCAAAUUUUGUUCCACCAACAAGGCAACAAAAUAGGAACUAAAAUACCAGCAACAACAAAAAAGUAGUGCACACAACAAGCAUAUAACAAAAGCCUCAACACCAAAAAAAUAUAGCAGCAAGAACACAUCAUAUACCAGACAGAAAUAGCAACAAAAUAAAAGCAUCUAAGAAUUAGAUGUAAAUUUCAUGUUUCGUUCAAUUCAACAAUAAGGUAAGGUUCAAAGGUUAAUUACAUCAUAGCCUACUCCCUCUACCCAUCCCAUGGUAAUUAACAUCAUUCCUGUAGCAAGAACAACACAUCCUACACCAGACAGAAACAUCAACAAAAUACCUAAUUAUCAACCAAAAACCACUCGUCAGCUUCAUCGACAAAAUACCUAAUUAUAUAUCAACCAAAAACCACUCGU
This 584-nucleotide long non-coding RNA is filed under the name Trifolium pratense (red clover). RNAcentral describes it as "long non-coding RNA (TPRA_LNC013460)". The record is from RNAcentral. Lineage: Eukaryota; Viridiplantae; Streptophyta; Magnoliopsida; Fabales; Fabaceae.